GGUAAUGCCGGAUGCUCCAUCACACUGCAUGGUGUGUUGGGAAAGCCUUUGCGGCAUGGGAUGGGGUCGCGUCCUAUCAGCUUGAUGGCGGGGUAACGGCCCACCAUGGCUUCGACGGGUAGCCGGCCUGAGAGGGCGACCGGCCACAUUGGGACUGAGAUACGGCCCAGACUCCUACGGGAGGCAGCAGUGGGGAAUAUUGCACAAUGGGCGCAAGCCUGAUGCAGCGACGCCGCGUGAGGGAUGGAGGCCUUCGGGUUGUAAACCUCUUUUGUUAGGGAGCAAGGCAUUUUGUGUUGAGUGUACCUUUCGAAUAAGCACCGGCUAACUACGUGCCAGCAGCCGCGGUAAUACGUAGGGUGCAAGCGUUAUCCGGAAUUAUUGGGCGUAAAGGGCUCGUAGGCGGUUCGUCGCGUCCGGUGUGAAAGUCCAUCGCUUAACGGUGGAUCCGCGCCGGGUACGGGCGGGCUUGAGUGCGGUAGGGGAGACUGGAAUUCCCGGUGUAACGGUGGAAUGUGUAGAUUCGAAGAAGAAA
Molecule: ribosomal RNA, 535 nt
Filed under: Bifidobacterium breve
Lineage: Bacteria; Bacillati; Actinomycetota; Actinomycetes; Bifidobacteriales; Bifidobacteriaceae
Description: bacterial SSU rRNA
Rfam family: Bacterial small subunit ribosomal RNA
Source: RNAcentral